This 499-nucleotide ribosomal RNA is filed under the name uncultured bacterium. RNAcentral describes it as "partial 16S ribosomal RNA". It matches the Rfam family "Bacterial small subunit ribosomal RNA", at positions 28 to 507 of the family's 1533-position model. The record is from RNAcentral.
GAUGAACGCUGGCGGCGUGCCUAAUACAUGCAAGUCGAGCGAACAGACGAGAGUGCUUGCACUCUCUGACGUUAGCGGCGGACGGGUGAGUAACACGUGGGUAACCUACCUAUAAGACUGGGAUAACUUCGGGAAACCGGAGCUAAUACCGGAUAAUAUUUAGCUUCGCAUGAAGCAAUAGUGAAAGACGGUUCUGCUGUCACUUAUAGAUGGACCCGCGGUGUAUUAGCUAGUUGGUGAGGUAACGGCUCACCAAGGCAACGAUACAUAGCCGACCUGAGAGGGUGAUCGGCCACAAUGGGACUGAGACACGGCCCAGAGUCCUACGGGAGGCAGCAGUAGGGAAGCUUCCGCAAUGGACGAAAGUCUGAAGGAGCAAUGCCGCGUGAGUGAAGAAGGUUUUCGGAUCGUAAAACUCUGUUGUAAGGGAAGAACAAGUACGUUAGUAACUGAACGUACCUUGACGGUACCUUACCAGAAAGCCACGGCUAACUACGUG